AUCCCAGAUAAACAGUUUACAUUUAUUUGAUUCAUGGGAGGCAGAAAUUGAUAAUGGUAGUUCGCUGUGGCACCUUUUGUUUCCCAGGAGGUGCUCUAAUAGUACCUCACCGUACAUUC
Small nucleolar RNA from Vitis vinifera (wine grape), 119 nucleotides. The record is from Rfam. NCBI's taxonomy places the organism in Eukaryota, Viridiplantae, Streptophyta, Magnoliopsida, Vitales, Vitaceae.